RNAcentral lists this ribosomal RNA (497 nucleotides) under uncultured bacterium. RNAcentral's name for it is "partial 16S ribosomal RNA". It matches the Rfam family "Bacterial small subunit ribosomal RNA", at positions 28 to 507 of the family's 1533-position model. The record is from RNAcentral.
GAUGAACGCUGGCGGCGUGCCUAAUACAUGCAAGUCGAGCGAACAGACGAGGAGCUUGCUCCUCUGACGUUAGCGGCGGACAGGUGAGUAACACGUGGAUAACCUACCUAUAAGACUGGGAUAACUUCGGGAAACCGGAGCUAAUACCGGAUAAAAUAUUGAACCGCAUGGUUCAAUAGUGAAAGACGGUUUUGCUGUCACUUAUAGAUGGAUCCGCGCCGCAUUAGCUAGUUGGUAAGGUAACGGCUUACCAAGGCAACGAUGCGUAGCCGACCUGAGAGGGUGAUCGGCCACACUGGAACUGAGACACGGUCCAGACUCCUACGGGAGGCAGCAGUAGGGAAUCUUCCGCAAUGGGCGAAAGCCUGACGGAGCAACGCCGCGUGAGUGAUGAAGGUCUUCGGAUCGUAAAACUCUGUUAUUAGGGAAGAACAAAUGUGUAAGUAACUAUGCACGUCUUGACGGUACCUAAUCAGAAAGCCACGGCUAACUACGUG